UACGUAGGGUGCAAGCGUUGUCCGGAAUUAUUGGGCGUAAAGAGCUCGUAGGCGGCCUGUCGCGUCUGCUGUGAAAUCCCGGGGCUCAACCCCGGGCCUGCAGUGGAUACGGGCUGGCUGGAGGCAGGCAGGGGAGAACGGAAUUCCUGGUGUAGCGGUGAAAUGCGCAGAUAUCAGGAGGAACACCGGUGGCGAAGGCGGUUCUCUGGGCCUGUUCUGACGCUGAGGAGCGAAAGCGUGGGGAGCGAACAGG
This 253-nucleotide ribosomal RNA is filed under the name uncultured bacterium. RNAcentral's name for it is "partial 16S ribosomal RNA". It matches the Rfam family "Bacterial small subunit ribosomal RNA", at positions 524 to 776 of the family's 1533-position model. The record is from RNAcentral.